RNAcentral lists this long non-coding RNA (3085 nucleotides) under Bemisia tabaci. RNAcentral describes it as "lncRNA ENSSSA2NGG010086". The record is from RNAcentral. Lineage: Eukaryota; Metazoa; Arthropoda; Insecta; Hemiptera; Aleyrodidae.
CACACUCCCCAUUGUCAUAUAGAUGAAUUUGGCUGCUUACAACAUAUUCUUCGAUCGAGUGGAGAGCAGCUGUGGUACUGAUGUUCACUACAAGUAUCUAUCGUCAAACCUGUGCUUCCUGUCAACAGGAUUUUUCGUGGCUUGAUUCAAGCUUGAAACAUUCAAUUCAGUUAUGAGAAAUGAAUUGAACGUCUAAAUUUUGUGAUGAUGAAACUGAUGAUGUUUUGUAAAAAUUGAAUGUAACUUACCCAACUUCUUGAUUAUUUCAGCGGUGGAUUGCAUCUUUUGUAGCAACAGUAACUUCAGCAAAUAUAGUAUCAAAUACAGCCUGGUGUGGGUAAUAAUCGUUAGAAAACAUUUAUCUUUCAAAAGUUGGUGGGCACAGCAUUAGCAAUUAAAGAAACUCGUGACAUGUAAUAAACUUUGAGGAUUGUUUGAGGGCUUUUUUCGAAAACUCAGCUUUGUAAACAAAACUUUCAACUGCCAAACAGAAUCAGGUUCACCAUAUAUGAAAUAGCAUAUACACUAAAAUCAAUUAAGUACUCUGCUGAAAUUAUAUCUAAUUCAGUCCAAAUGUAUUGUUUACUUCAAAUUUUGAAUUUUUUGGGGUUCUUUGGAAUUUAAUUUGUAAUAUUUUCGUAGGAAUUUCUUUGUUACUUAUUCGUUGAACAUUGUGUCUAGUGAUAACUCGUGCUUAUAAAAGAGCAUCAUUGACUUGGAAGUUUUUUGUUGAUUCGAGGUUAGAAUCUUGUGUAAGGACUGUAAGGCAUGGGAAUCGUAAAAAGAAGCAGGAGCAAGCAAAAGUUAAAAGAAUUGAUCAUUUUGUUUCCUGGAUUUUUAGCUAUGAUAUGUGAAAAGAGAAGUUCAAGUGCAUAAGACAAGUCUAAACUUUUCGAUUGAGUUCACCAUCGUCAAAUAUCAAGAAUCCAAAUGGCUCCUCAAAAGCAAUCCAACCCAAAAACAGACCCUGGCACUAUUGCAGAGAAAAAGACGUUUAACAAAAAAGAGUGGCGGCAGAAACAGUACAGUACUAAAUGGAAAGUUCAAAAAUUCGAAGAGGAGAAGAGGAAAGCUGCUAUCCAGAAGUAUCAUAAGGAACUGAAGAAAGAAAAAAUUCAAUUACCUCAAUCCAAACCUAACACGAGCAGAAACGAGAAAGAAGAAAGACUCACCGCAUAUCAGUUGGCACAAAGGAGUAUGAAAAGGUCAAAGAAGAACAAAAAAAGCAGAGGGAAGCAGCCAUUAGAAAGAAACAAGAAAUGAAAGAAGCCUUAACAAAUAUAAACAGAAAAAGAUUGAAAAAUACAAGAAACUAAGUAAGAAAACUAAAAAAGGACAACCAGUUAUGAAGUACCGAUUAGAAAUGUUAUUAGAAAAAAUCGAAAAGAAUUACAAAAGCUAACAAAAGUGAAUGUUCUCACAAUUUUUUAAUGUUAUCAUAACCUCCAAUGAAGUUUGCAGAAUUCAUUUCUCUUACUUAUAAUAUCCAAAAAUGAUUAUUUUUUAUGACUCGCUUCUAUCUCACUUCUGGCAGGGGGCUUCAGAGUGUCGUCAACUCCAGGAAAGAGAAUGUCCGGCAAAAUGUAGAGACCCAAGUAGCAAAAUAUAAUUUUUUCUAGAAGAAAAAUUUUAGGAAAACUUCUAGAAAAUACCAAGAAAAUGAGAGUUAUCUAAAAAAGAGAAAGAAAAAACAUUGCGAGUCAAAAGUCUGACGAAAGAAAAUAGAUCUAUUUCAUAGGUCUACUUUCUGUCAACUUUCCAUUUGGAAAAAAGAUAGAAAAUUUAUUGAAAGUAGAAUUAUUUUCUAGCCAAUUUCUUAAUGUUUUCUCUUAAGAAAAUGCAAGGAAAAAAUUUAUUUUCUUUCUAUUUUCUUGUGUCUAUUUUCUAGAUCUACUUUAUACUUACUUUCUUUCAAGAAAAUUGUUCCAUCUAGAAAGUAGACAUUUUCUUGAUGAGCGCCACCUAGAAACUAGAUGACAACUACUUGGGGAGAAAGAAAUAGUCUCUUGUGCUUGAAAGCCAUGUGAAAAUUCAGUAAGUAGGUGUAAGCAGACAUUUUGAGUAUUUUGAACUGAACGUUCUUAAAAUCAAGCGCAUUAUGUAUAUUGCAUACAUUUCCAGUAGCUUGAACUGAAUUUUCUACGGAACAAAAAAAUAUCAAAGGUAGCACUCCGUAAAUUGUUCUAUCUUGCAAAAAAUUCCGUCUUGUUGAUUUAAUUAUGAAUAUCCAGGCCUUAUUUAGCAGAUUAUCUAUUCACUUAAAAAGGACAAAGCACCACAUUCUAGCCAACCCUGUUGAAAUGAAACUUCUUUUGAUCAGUUAGAGUUACGCAUGUUUAUUAACAUGUUUUCUUUCUAUUUUCACUGCCAAAAAUUCAUGUUACUUUACAAGCCAAUAUUUCAUAUAACUGUCUAAAGAGAGCAUUUGUUUUUAUAAGUAGUAUCAUUACUAGGUGCCCACCUCUUUCCAAUUUUCAAGGAGACAACAUGGAAAUGAUAUUUUUCAGUACCUAUUGAGAUCUAAGUGCACUGUUUUCCUUUCCAUGUAUAAUGUUCUUUGUUAUGAUUUGAGCAUCGCAAUAAAAUAUUUCAGUGAACAACUCAUUGCUUGUUUUAAUGUGUCUCAUUACAUCUUUGACCAUUCACUCAAAACGUAUCUUUGCAAAAUAUCCCCGCCAAAAAUAGAUGAUAAAGCAGCUCAAUAACUUGUAUAAAUGUUGCGCUCAAGGAGCAGUCGGUACGUAAUAUUUUGACUUUUUUCCGGCAGUUUUCCAUUUUUGUUCCAAAUGUAUAUACCUAUCUUAAUUGCACCAUCAGGCCCGUACCCAUGGGUUCAUCACACAUGCACAGCCUUAUUAUCCUGGAAUAAAAUAUUUUUUAAUCACUGGAUAGUGUAACUUUGUCUAAAAUUAUCAGAGACUCUUUUUCUUUUCGUCCAUCCAUCAAUCAGUAAAAUCAGUGAAAAAAAUGUGAGAAGGAACAACUGAACAUGCGCAUAGUUGUAUCUUGAAUCUCACUCUCUCGGUUUUAUUUGCUCCACUACGGAAUCUCUAAAGAAUUCCUGUUUUUUAUUGUGUUGAAAAAA